UUCUGUGUCUCCCUCUCUCUCUCUCUCUCUGCCCCUCCCCCACUUGCACUCUGUCUCUGUCUCUGUCUCUCUCUCUCUCUCUCAAAAAUAAACAUUAAAAAAAAUAAAAAUAUUAGUGACUGUGGAUCAACUCAUGCCAAGUGCCAAAUGGAAGGCAGGUGCUGUGGGAGGAGGGAGGAGGGAGGAGGGAGCUGACUGGGCUCCCAGGUGGUCAAGGAGAUUCCUAGGGUAGGUGGAAUCCCAGUAGGGUUGGGAGAUUUCAGAGAGAGAAAUGGGAAAGGCACUAGAGCUGGGCCCUAAUCAUACCCAUUUAGGGGUCCCCAUGCUUAGCAGAGAGCCUGCCUCUAGCAGGGGAUGAUAUGUGCUUGCGGAGUGAAUAAAUGUUGGAUCCAAUGAAAAUAGAGCACACAUGGCUGAGAGGCAAGGUGUGGCUGAGGGACUGUGGAGUAUGGGGGUGGCUGGCCACUGAACCUCUAACAGCCCACCAAGUGCAGUUCAGUUGACUGUGACCCCACCAACCAGACUGACAUUCUUCAGUUUUCAGCUUUCCAUUUUUUCCAGGACCAAACACAUCCUGGGAAACAUCUGCUGGAGCAGUGAGUAGACGGUGUAAGGGAGCAGCCGGAGGAAACGUGGGAGAAAUCUGCUAGGAGCAGACGGAGGAAGCCUUGAGUUCCAGGCCAAAAAGUUUAGCCUUUUCCUCUGGGCAAGUGGUGGCCAUUGGGAUCUCUGAACAUUCAAAUAGCAGGAGUCUCUAGUUUUCCUACAACGAACAUGUACUACCUUUGUAAUAAGCAAGAAACCCAAUAAGAUUUAUUGGAUAAAAGAAUAAACAGCUGGAAAUCAUUCUCUCCUGAGGAAUUAGCAUCUUGUCUGACGACAAGGGCUACCGUUGCUUUGCUGGAACCUUCCAUCUAUCUCUCAGGAUCUGCUCUCAGCCAACGGGGAGACGAUGCAGAUGGAGGAAACAAUGCCUAAAAUGAUUGAGCCAUGAGUCCAGAACAGACGAGGAGCCACAACCCAAGCCCAGCUGAUCGUUUGCCAACCCCCACAGGCUUCCGUUUUGCACAGGACCUUAUGCUGGCUCUGCCCAGUUGUCCUAUCGCCACCUUCCCCACCCGCUCUCUUCUCUCUUCCCUGCCAACGAAAAUAUAAUGAGGCCAUAUAUGUAAUUUUACGUUUUCUAGUAGCCACAUUAAAAAGCAAGUGAAAACAGGUGAAA
Molecule: long non-coding RNA, 1222 nt
Organism: Felis catus (domestic cat)
Lineage: Eukaryota; Metazoa; Chordata; Mammalia; Carnivora; Felidae
Exons: 3
Source: RefSeq, a predicted model, not a curated record